Molecule: long non-coding RNA, 913 nt
Filed under: Citrus x clementina
Lineage: Eukaryota; Viridiplantae; Streptophyta; Magnoliopsida; Sapindales; Rutaceae
Description: Citrus clementina (C. clementina) long non-coding RNA (CCLE_LNC006657)
Source: RNAcentral
CGAAAUUCACCUAAUGGUAUAGUCUCCCUUCCUCAGGAUCCAACAGGUGUGAAACCUAAAACUCUUUUUUUCUUUUUAACUACAUGUACAAGUUAUUGUCUGAACAUGCUUAAGUGGGUCUAUAAAAUCUCCUGAAACCUUUACCUUGUCUUACCUUUUUGAAUUUCGAUAAUUGUAAACGUGGGCGGCAUUUCACAUUGUAUAAAGUGUAAAAGUACGUAGAUGAUGAAAAUUUUGGUUGUGGCAUCGAGAGGACAAAAGCGCCAACAAUGUGGAUCUUAUACAGAGUAUCAAGAUUCAGCAAUGAUGUUAUUACAAGCACCUUCGAUUUUCGUAUCUUUACAACGAUAAAGAGAGGUUAUUUUAAGAAUUCUCCAACAAAAGGAAAAAUCAUCAAGUUUAGUUUACGUGUGGUGCAUUACUAAUUCUAAUAAGGCGGAAAGCUUGAUACACUACCUUCAAGCCAAAAAAAAAAACUUUUUAGCUAACGAUGAUUAAAGAAAAUAUAUUAACUGGAAUCCCGAAGAAUUAUGAAGGUUUGGUAGGUAAGAUCUGGUCAAGAAAUAAAUGUAAGUUUAAUUGCAAGUGAUGAAUAUGAGUGCCUCAAGAUUUGAUCGAGUGGAUUUCAAUUGGCAUCAUUUAGUUGGUAACACGAAUUUGAUUGGUAAAGAGGGAAGGUAGCUAAAAAUUAAUUUGGUCACAUCCUUAUCUUUUAAGAACAUAAAAAUAAUAAUAAUAAUAAUUGAUAUGAGUGGCUUCUGAAAUAUCUCUUAGCGACAAAAUUUAAUUUUUUUUUUUUUAAUCUAAAACCUCAAGUUUAUAUAGCUCAAAUCACCCCUUUUACUUUUGAAAUCUUUAAUUUGUCUCCAUUUUUGUUAAGAAGAUUAAAAGAAAAAUGAUCAACCCAUCUCUU